AUGCAAGUCGAGGGGCAGCACAAUGCGUAGCAAUACAAAUGGUGGCGACCGGCGCACGGGUGAGUAACACGUAUGCAACCUACCUAUAAGUGGGGAAUAACCCGGAGAAAUCCGGACUAAUACCGCAUAAUACUUGUUAAUCUGCAUGGAUUACAAGUUAAACAUUUAUGGCUUAUAGAUGGGCAUGCGUAUGAUUAGUUAGUUGGUGAGGUAACGGCUCACCAAGACAUCGAUCAUUAGGGGUUCUGAGAGGAAGGUCCCCCACACUGGUACUGAGACACGGACCAGACUCCUACGGGAGGCAGCAGUGAGGAAUAUUGGUCAAUGGGCGAGAGCCUGAACCAGCCAAGUCGCGUGAAGGAAGACGGUUCUAUGGAUUGUAAACUUCUUUUGUAAGGGAAUAAAGUUCACUACGUGUAGUGUUUUGUAUGUACUUUACGAAUAAGGAUCGGCUAACUCCGUGCCAGCAGCCGCGGUAAUACGGAGGAUCCAAGCGUUAUCCGGAUUUAUUGGGUUUAAAGGGUGCGUAGGCGGACCCAUAAGUCAGUGGUGAAAGUUUGCAGCUUAACUGUAAAAUUGCCGUUGAAACUGUGGGUCUUGAGUGUAAAUAAAGUAGGCGGAAUGUGUUGUGUAGCGGUGAAAUGCUUAGAUAUAACACAGAACACCAAUUGCGAAGGCAGCUUACUGGGAUACAACUGACGCUGAGGCACGAAAGCGUGG
This 720-nucleotide ribosomal RNA is filed under the name uncultured bacterium. RNAcentral's name for it is "bacterial SSU rRNA". It matches the Rfam family "Bacterial small subunit ribosomal RNA", at positions 55 to 764 of the family's 1533-position model. The record is from RNAcentral.